This 478-nucleotide ribosomal RNA is filed under the name uncultured organism. RNAcentral's name for it is "bacterial SSU rRNA". It matches the Rfam family "Bacterial small subunit ribosomal RNA", at positions 28 to 507 of the family's 1533-position model. The record is from RNAcentral.
GAUGAACGCUGGCGGCGUGCCUAACACAUGCAAGUCGAGCGGACCAAUGCUCAUUUCAGCUUUGCUGAUUUGAGCAACGGUUAGCGGCGGACGGGUGAGUAACGCGUGGGCAACCUGCCCUGUGCAGGGGGAUAACACAGCGAAAGCUGUGCUAAUACCCCAUAAGACUACGUUAUCGCAUGAUAGAGUAGUCAAAGCUUUAGCGGCACAGGAUGGGCCCGCGUCUGAUUAGCUAGUUGGUGGGGUAACGGCCUACCAAGGCGACGAUCAGUAGCCGACCUGAGAGGGUGAUCGGCCACACUGGAACUGAGACACGGUCCAGACUCCUACGGGAGGCAGCAGUGGGGAAUAUUGCACAAUGGGGGAAACCCUGAUGCAGCAACGCCGCGUGAGCGAAGAAGGCCUUCGGGUCGUAAAGCUCUGUCCUAAGGGAAGAAGUAUGACGGUACCUUAGGAGGAAGCCCCGGCUAACUACGUG